This is a long non-coding RNA of Homo sapiens (human), 922 nucleotides long. Ensembl annotates it as mir-100-let-7a-2-mir-125b-1 cluster host gene. Its record names the gene MIR100HG. NCBI's taxonomy places the organism in Eukaryota, Metazoa, Chordata, Mammalia, Primates, Hominidae. The record is from Ensembl.
GAGGUUUUUUCAGUGGGAUUAUUUGUGUCCCUGUGGCUCUUCAGGGAGCUUGCAGAAUUCUAGCUAAAGAUAAGAAGGGCAUCGCUUCAAAUGGGAGGCCAAUCAAUGCAGCAUUAGGAAGGCUUCAUUCAGCUCAGCACCACCUUGGCGACUCAGAACCAAAACCAGCAUGCUUUUUAUAAUUUCACCAUGGAUGCACUAGCCAUCUCCAAAGAGCAGCAAAAAAGCAGUGCUCACAAGAUCCAGAGCCACUCCAAAGAAAGCUGGAAGAAAAAAGAGACUUGGAGAUGAACAGGAAAACAAUAGCUGUCCACAGAAGGGAAAAGGAUCAAUAACAAAUGAAUAUCUUAAAAAGUUGAGUCACACAAAUAUAAAUUCAAAACAAAUAAUUCAAACUAAUUCUUGUAGAUGUUUCUUUUUUUUUUCUCCUGAGUUAAAGGAUUUACAUCCCAAAGGAACUGACUCUCUGACUGGAAAUUAAACUCAUGCCUCAGCAGUGAAUGUGUGGAAUCCUUGACACUAGACUGCAGGCUGGAUACCCUUCCUUGAAGAUCCUGUGGGGGAUCCAAAGCAGGCAGUUUGAAUGUACGAAGGAUUUUAACUUAGUUUUAACUCUGAUUUCUGCUUUUUUCAAAUCCUGCCAAGGAAGUUUUUAAGGCUAUAUUUCUUUCAUAGGUACUGAUAAGAUAGCUGUUUAGGACAAGAGCUCUCUUAAGAGUUCUCUUUUAAAUCUAGCCAAUUUAUUUAUUCCAUCAGUGACUCAAGCCAAUAAGCCUUUUCCAUGGAAAGUCCCAUGGGUAAUUUUCCAGGUUUACAAUACCAUGGUCAUAAGUGGCAUUUUAAAAAUGGAUGCAAAAGUUGCACCUCCCCAGUGAUACCCGUCUCACAAAUUUAGUCCCAGAAAUAAACUAAGAUAGCAAAA